RNAcentral lists this long non-coding RNA (544 nucleotides) under Homo sapiens (human). RNAcentral describes it as "HSALNT0240642". The record is from RNAcentral. Lineage: Eukaryota; Metazoa; Chordata; Mammalia; Primates; Hominidae.
CCAGGUUCAGUAACAAGAAGUGAUGAAUACAGAGUGUGAGAGAUGGGAGCCUGCUGCCCUCCUUCAUUCACCUGUGUGCACAACAUUCUCUGUGUGGAUUCUGACUUUAGACAUGCCGAUCUCUAGAGGCAUGAAGUCUACUGCAAAUGGAGGUUUUGCUAAGUUGGAUAAUAGCACACAGUGUUGGCAUGAGUGUGGGAAACAAGUCCUAUCCUCUCCUGUGGAUGACAGUCACGAGCUUCCACCUCUGCACAUAGGCACAGAAACCGGGGCCCGUGCGUUGGGACCUGUGAGCCUCACACCUGCCUCUGAUGGCAUCAUUUGCUGCUCCAGGCUUCACUGCAAUCGACCCACUUGGAGAGUAGCUCAGGAGGCUCACCCUGCCCUGGCAAGCAAUAGUGAGGGAAGAGACUCCAGAAGAUGAAUUAGAAAGAGUUGGAAAAUCUUUGAGAAGCAAGACCCUAAGAAGGGAAGAAAAUAUAGAAUUCUGUUUCAACCAGAAUAAAAACAGAUCUUUGGCACAGGUCAAAGAUCCUCAUUGUGG